This is a long non-coding RNA of Pseudophryne corroboree (corroboree frog), 234 nucleotides long. RefSeq lists it as uncharacterized. The record is from RefSeq and is a predicted model, not a curated record. NCBI's taxonomy places the organism in Eukaryota, Metazoa, Chordata, Amphibia, Anura, Myobatrachidae. The transcript is spliced from 2 exons.
CAGCCUCUCUGCGCUUGCUCCGACUGCUCCCAUAAGCAACCUGACGGAGGAGAUGCGUAAGUAGCGGGCCCUCAGUGGAGACGGUGAUGUUGGGGACGUCCUUCCGUUGUGCACUGACGGACUUCUCUCUCCUAUUUAAGAUGCUGAUGAAUCCUUCUUUAAGAUCUUCUGAAGACUUGAUCUCUGUUUCGUGGACUCCAAAAAUGUGAAAUGGAAAAUAAAAAAUAACAAACA